UACGUAGGCAGCGAGCGUUGUUCGGAAUUACUGGGCGUAAAGAGUGUGUAGGCGGUGCUCUAAGUUCGGUGUGAAAUCUCCUGGCUCAACUGGGAGGGUGCGCCGGAAACUGGAGUGCUUGAGCGUGGGAGAGGAGACUGGAAUACUUGGUGUAGCAGUGAAAUGCGUAGAUAUCAAGUGGAACACCAGUGGCGAAGGCGAGUCUCUGGACAUUUCCUGACGCUGAGGCACGAAAGCCAGGGGAGCAAACGGG
Molecule: ribosomal RNA, 253 nt
Filed under: uncultured bacterium
Lineage: Bacteria
Description: partial 16S ribosomal RNA
Rfam family: Bacterial small subunit ribosomal RNA
Source: RNAcentral